AACGCGAAGAACCUUACCUGGGCUCGAAAUGUAGAGGACGAUCACAGAGAUGUGAUUUCCCGAAAGGGUCUCUAUAUAGGUGCUGCAUGGCUGUCGUCAGCUCGUGCCGUGAGGUGUUUGGUUAAGUCCAGCAACGAGCGCAACCCUUAUCGUUAGUUGCCAGCGCGUAAUGGCGGGAACUCUAACGAGACUGCCUAGGUUAACUAGGAGGAAGGCGAGGAUGACGUCAAGUCCGCAUGGCCUUUAUGUCCAGGGCUACACACGUGCUACAAUGGUCGGUACAGAAGGCAGCGAAACCGCAAGGUGAAGCAAAUCCCAAAAGCCGAUCUCAGUUCAGAUUGUAGUCUGCAACUCGACUACAUGAAGUUGGAAUUGCUAGUAAUGGCGUGUCAGCAACAACGCCGUGAAUACGUUCCCGGGCCUUGUACACACCGGCUAC
This 439-nucleotide ribosomal RNA is filed under the name uncultured bacterium. RNAcentral describes it as "bacterial SSU rRNA". It matches the Rfam family "Bacterial small subunit ribosomal RNA", at positions 958 to 1397 of the family's 1533-position model. The record is from RNAcentral.